UGGAAGUCAAAGAACAACUUCGUGGA
Molecule: non-coding RNA, 26 nt
Filed under: Mus musculus (house mouse)
Lineage: Eukaryota; Metazoa; Chordata; Mammalia; Rodentia; Muridae
Source: RNAcentral